Non-coding RNA from Schistosoma margrebowiei, 78 nucleotides. NCBI's taxonomy places the organism in Eukaryota, Metazoa, Platyhelminthes, Trematoda, Strigeidida, Schistosomatidae. The record is from Rfam.
AGAUUUUCAAAUUCGUGCAGAGAUUUUGUCAGACACCGAUCCAUUAGGGCUGAUCAGACUCCCAAGAUAAGUGAAGUU